RNAcentral lists this long non-coding RNA (4645 nucleotides) under Homo sapiens (human). RNAcentral describes it as "HSALNT0154286". Lineage: Eukaryota; Metazoa; Chordata; Mammalia; Primates; Hominidae. The record is from RNAcentral.
CGCGGGACUGGGGAACUGGCAGGCUGCUGGCCGGCGCGUGGAACCACCCCCGCCACCCCCGCACCCCCAAUGUUGAACCAGAGUUCUUAACUUCCAUGUGCACGAACCCCAGGGAGUGCAGGAACACCCCCAAACUGUGCACAAAUUGAGCAUGUUUGUGCAUUCUUCAGGGGAGAGGGGCCGUGGGCUUUCCUCCGGUUUUCAGAAGUCCACGGCCCCCUAAGGUUGAGAACUCCCUCUUCAAUCAUAACUGAUGUUUUUUUAGUUGCAUACUUGGUACCAUGCAGACCCUGUCUUUAUUUACAUUUUAGAUAUUUUGUUCAUUGUGGGGUUUUGCAUUAAUUUUGAUACUUUUAAAAAUAUUUUAAAAGUAAAAAAUUAAAAUAUUAUUUUGAUUACUUAGGGGUUUGGGGCACUGCUUUGGGCAAUUUACCUCCGUUGCUGAGUUUUCUUGGCAUCUCCUGGUAUGCUGCAUCUCUGCAUGUGCCACACCCUAGUCCAGACCCUGACCCACACAGUGCUGGGGUUUAAGGGAGGCCUGCUUUUUUCUCUCCAUUUACAGAUGGGAAAGCUGACAUAAACGGGUAGGUGGUAGAGGUGGGAUUUGAACCCAGGUAACCUAACUCCAAACUUCUGCAUCUUGUCAUAAGGAUCCAAAUCUUAGGCUUUAAGGGGUUCUGUGCAGAUCCUCAGCAGCCUCCCCAGCUUCAGAUCCGGCCUCCUGAGCUCCAGUCUCUCUGAUACCUGCACCCAGGCUCAGGUGCAGGCCAGAGCUCACCUGACUCUGGUGAGCUGCUCUGCCCUACACCGGGAUUGCAGCACACAUCACAUGGCGCUGUCAUUGUCAGAUCCAUCUCUGUGUCCCCACACCCAGCCUGACACAUGGAGCCUGGGAUACAAUAGAUGCUCAAACCGUUGGAGACACGCACAGCAACUUGGGGUAGGGAAGAGAGUCUGGAUGGGAGACAUCAGACAUCACUAUGUCAUGGAGAACCCCCUGCAACUGCAUAAAGAUGGUUUAGGUGCCAGUGGCUUCCGAAUAAAACAGCAUUCUUGAAGUGAACAGCUGAUGAGGACAUGAAAUAUUAUGCCAAAGCUGGCAUCACACUGUUCUUUUUCCUGGAUGAAAAUCUCUCUGAGAAGCAUUUGCUCUUAACUUUGGUGUCCUGGGGACUGCUGCCUUAUCCCAGGAAGCCACCCAGAGUCUUGGAUGUGUGGGAUCCUUAGGACUUCAUGGUAAACCUGCUCUAGUCCCUCGGGUUAGUAAAAUGAAGCCCAGGACAUCUGAGAGCCCCCAGCACUUCCAUAGAAAUGGACCAAAAUCCCUUCUCCCAGGGGGAGAAACCUGGAAUAAGCUCAAGAGGACAGACGGCUAAAUUUUCAAGAAUCGUGUGAGCUGCUGUUAAACAAGCCAUUAUUAAAACUUUAAUUGUGUAAACUUACAAUUAGGUCAGUUAUAUUAAAAGUAAAAGUGAUACAUACCCCAAACUCAUCUCUUUCAAGUUAUUUUACUAUAUUUUACUGUUUUCUAUAGGCUUGAAGUUAUUUACAUCUACUGUAAGUGUGGGGGUGGAAAUUCAAUAUAAUGACACGCUACCAAGCACCUCUUCUCAACUUGGUGUUUAGUGACCUCACCAAGGUAGCUUCAAACAGGCUGUGAUGGGAGUAUUUACACCUCAGAAAUUAGCAAAUGCUAUUAAUUAGGGCUCUUUUCCCCCCAGAGACCCUGGUAUUAAGCAUUUAUUAGCACCUGGGCACAGUGGCUCACGCCUGUAAUCCCAGCACUUUGGGAGGCCGAGGCAGGCGGAUCACCUGAGGUCGGGAGUUUGAGACCAGCCUGACCAACAUGGAGAAACCCCGUCUCUACCAAAAAUACAAAAUUAGCCAGGCAUACUGGCGCAUGCCUGUAGUCCCAGCUACUCGGGAGGCUGAGGCCGGAGAAUCGCUUGAACCUGGGAGGCGAAGGUUGCGGUGAGUUAAGAUUGAGCCAUUGCACUCUAGCCUGGGCAACAAGAGCGAAACUCCUUCUAAAAACAUUUAUUAGCUCACACUUCCAUCUCUUACCUAGGCCAGUACUGUGGACAAUUCAGAAGCAGCUCCCUCCCUCCUUCUCCACUGGAUCUACAGUCGAAUCCCUUGAGCAUAGACCCAGAUCUUGCUCAAUUUGGGGUCAUGAUUUGGUGCCGUGGCCUCCUCAAAACUUCCUUCUUCCACAGCAUCACACAUUCCAGCUACACUCAGCUCCUUGCAGUUUCUUAAAUAAAAUACAGGUUUUCCCAUUCCUCUGGUGCUUUGCAUAUUAAUUUCCUUCUUUGGCUAGGGUAGGGGGGAUGUUUUUUCUCUCCUUUUCUAGAUUUUUAUUCUGCAAGAGUCAGAAAGUAUCUCCUCUGGGGAACCUUUCUUAAAUCCCCCACACCUGCCUCAUCCCACCCCACUGCAGGCUGCAUAUAGCAGUGUGUUGGUAAAUAUUUAACAGCCAACUUUCUGAAAAGGGAGGGAAAAAGUCCUUAUUUUUAGCAUCUGCCAAUUUCCAUGGUGUAAAGAUGCCCAUCGUGGCCAAUUUUGAGCUGACAACAUGCAGUCUUUGAGAGUAAAUUUGGGAAGAGGCGUGCCAGCUGGUCUGGGCCAAUUCCAGCACAUCACUGACUGGAUCAGAUGUCUUUUCUGUCUCACAGCAGCCACACCCCCAUACAGCCCUCAUAAUACAGUGCCAUGCCAAGCCAUGUUGGAGCCUGAAGCAAAAGGAAAAAUUAAUAACACUGAUCCUGUCUUCAUUUAAAAGUUUGAUCUCGGCUGGGCGCGGUGGCUCAUGCCUAUAAUCCCAGCACUUUGGGAGGCUGAGCGGGGUGGAUAACCUGAGGUCAGGAGUUUGAGACCAGCCUGUCCAACAUGGUGAAACCCCGUCUCUACCAAAAAUACAAAAAAUUAGCCAGAUGUGGUGGCGCGCGCAUAUAAUCCCAGCUCCUUGGGAGGCCAAGGCAGAAGAAUCGCUUGAACCUGGGAGGCGGAGGUUGCAGUGAGCCGAGAUUGCACCAUCGCACUCCAGCCUGGGGCACAAGAGUGAAACUCCGUCUCAAAAAAAAAAAAACGGUAUUAAAAUAUUAUUUAUCUUGUUUACUGAGAUUUUGGAUUUUGGCACCACACUGAAUUUGACCCUGAGGUAAGUGUCUUAUUCACCUCUUCUCAUCCUAGUCCUGACCUAAUAGCCCAUAUCACACUGUUACAAUUAAUUUCAGUAUAGCUGUCUCCCCCACCAACUUGUGAAGUUUAAGGACAGGAAUCCAUUUUUGUGUUCCUAGGACUUGGCACACAGUAGGUGCUUAGUAACUAUUGUCCAGUGAGGAAGUGGAUGAGCAGAUGGAUGAACCAAUCACCCAGUUUCUUUGCCCACAAAAUAAGACACACUGAUGAAAGUCAUCCUUGGCUAUUAACCAGGGACAGGUGUUAGUUUUUGAGUUUUAGCUCUUCCAGUUCAGCAAAGAUUACUCUGCCCCUGACCUAUGGAAGCCAGCUCCUGUGCUGGGCAUUUUGACCAGGGCUGAUCUGCAGACGCCUCCAGCCUGGGGAAACAAUGAAGGGAAAAUGAGUCUGGAAAGUGGAGACUCCACCAGGACCAGGGGUGAGAAGUCGCAGAGAGGCAGCCAUCCCUGAGCCCCCAGGCCUCAGAGCUCCUGCCUCUGGAUGAGUCCUAGGAGAUUUCCAUUUGGCAAGGGCAAUGGAAAGGAGAUCCAAGCACUAGAAACUUCAGGAUGGCUUCCAAGUGUCAAAUUUGAUGGGUCAGCUGCCGUCUGAGGAUACCAGGACUUGUUUCUGUGUGUGGUCACUGCCUCACUCUGAAGACCACCAAAAAAGAGAUUGUCUGGAGAUGUGGAAUCAUGGGCUUUGCAGACAUCUCACUGGACUCUGGUCUGCAUGGGCGUGGACGUUAAGAGGCUCUGUUUACAUAAGAUUGGCCGUGGCAUCUGUUUUUUAAGCACUUGAUAUCUGCCGGGUCUCCUGUAAAGAGCUUUGCACAUAUUAGCUCAUUGAUUACUCACAAAAUCCUCAGAUGUAGACAUUAUUCUGCUUCUUUUACAGAUGAGUAGCAGAGAAGCUGGCAACCUGCCCAAGGUCUCACAGCUGGUAACUAAUGGAACUGAAACACUAACCUAGAACCAUCUGAUUCUAGAGCCCAUGAUCUUAACCACUCUAUGCAAAGAAAAGGAAUUUCGAAGAUGGGCCCCUUUCCAGCACUAGUGCCUGUAAACACCAAAAAUAGAGGUGGGAUUUGGCAGAUGCAGUCAUUUUUGUCCUUCUCUGAGCUGGCCUUGUCCUCUGCUCUCCGAGCCUGUCCAUCACAGAAGCUCCCAGGGUCUCUCCCCCUACCACUCAUCCACUUCUCCAGCCAGUGUCCACAGGGGAGUUGAAUGUCUCUAAAGGGAAAUUCUUCCACUCAAAGACACUCAUCUCAUUUGGAGGAGUCAGGAGAGGAGAAGGAAGUGAAGAAGCAGUGAGCAUCUCUCAUCUGCCAAGCUCUAUGCACACAUUAGGGGUCCUUCUCAUCCCAGGACGAGGGGGCAGGUGUUUUUCUCAUCCUUAUAUUAAGGACUUGCAUUGUUCAAUAUAGUAGCCACUAGUCUCAUGUAGCUACUUAAAUUUCAAUUCC